Long non-coding RNA from Cavia porcellus (domestic guinea pig), 1086 nucleotides. RefSeq lists it as uncharacterized. NCBI's taxonomy places the organism in Eukaryota, Metazoa, Chordata, Mammalia, Rodentia, Caviidae. The record is from RefSeq and is a predicted model, not a curated record. The transcript has 2 exons.
GCCCAGCCCAGCCCGGCCUGACCCGACCCGACCCGACCCGACCCGACCCGACCCAACCCGGCCCUCCGCGCCCGCUCGCGAACUGCUCGCCUCGCGUCAGAAUGGCCCGGAGGCACCUCAGCCCGCUCCGGAGUCCUCUUUCCUGAGUGUCUUUAUGAAGUGGGAUCCAAAUUAUGGUGAAUGCUGCUGCCAAGCAUCAUCAACAGAAAGGAAGCUCAUAAAAAUAUGAUGCUGUGUCCUCAUUCCACCUCUUUCACCAGAACGGGCAACCUGUGACUUUUUUUUUUUUGGUACCUGGAAUCGAACUCACAAUGUCACACUUGCCAGGCAGGUACUUACACCGUUAAGCUAAAUCCUCAGCUCCCACCUGUGACUUCUGGCUCUUCCCCAAAGUCAAGAUGACCAUAAAGAUAAAUAUUUUAUUUUAUUUAUUUAUUUAUUUAUUUUUUAUUGGUACCAGGGAUCGAACUCACAACCAUGCACUUGCAAGGUAGGCACUUAUGCCGCUGAGCUAAAUCCCCAGCCCCAAGAUAAACAUUUUAAAUUAAGUCAGGACAUCAAGGUAGGCACGACAACCCAACUAAAGACACCGAAGAAAAAGAACUCCAGAGCUGCUGCAGAAAGCAAGGCAUGGUGGACACAACUGUAAUCUAAGCACUCAGGAACCUGAGGCAGGAGGAUCAUCACAAGGUCUAGGCCAGGCUAGACUACACAGUGAGACCCUGUCACAAAAGAAAAGAGAAAGAGGAAAAAGAAAAAGAAAUAAUAUCAGAAAAGCAUUUAGCAUAUAGUAAAUUACUCACACUUUAUUUUGUUAAAUGGUCCAUUUUAAAGAGUGAUCCUAUUGGCCCACUUCCUCCUCCUGCCUAGGCUUCACUUUGACACUACAGCAGUUCCACAGCAGCUCUCUAACUUGUGGAUGCUUGGAGCCUCCCUUCUGUGCCUCCUCCUCCUUCCUCGAGUACUGGGACUUCACUUCCUAAUUUGCGGUGCCCAUCCCCACCUCUCUUGUCCUUGGUUAGAUUCCUAUUUUUGAGGAUGACCAGAUGGCCAAAGUUAUAAACUUGUCGUUUUUAAGUAACUGUC